RNAcentral lists this ribosomal RNA (457 nucleotides) under uncultured bacterium. Its description in RNAcentral is "partial 16S ribosomal RNA". It matches the Rfam family "Bacterial small subunit ribosomal RNA", at positions 28 to 507 of the family's 1533-position model. The record is from RNAcentral.
GACGAACGCUGGCGGCGUGCUUCAUACAUGCAAGUCGAACGAGAAGCUGACUUCGGUCAGUGGAAAGUGGCGGACGGGUGAGUAAUAUGUAGGAAAUCUGCCUUUAGGAGGGGGACAACAGAGGGAAACUUCUGCUAAUACCCCAUAUGAGCGUAGCUGAAAUGCUAUUCUUGAAAACUCCGGUGCCUAAAGAUGAGCCUGCAUCUGAUUAGCUAGUUGGUAGUGUAAUGGACUACCAAGGCGACGAUCAGUAGCUGGUUUGAGAGGAUGAUCAGCCACAAUGGGACUGAGACACGGCCCAUACUCCUACGGGAGGCAGCAGUAGGGAAUUUUGCGCAAUGGCGAAAGCCUGACGCAGCAACGCCGCGUGAACGAUUAAGCCCUUCGGGGUGUAAAGUUCUGUCAGUGGGGACGAAACUUGACGGUACCCACAGAGGAAGCACCGGCUAACUCCGUG